GACGAACCGUGCGAACGUUAUUCGGAAUCACUGGGCUUAAAGGGCGCGUAGGCGGGUUGCCAAGUCUGUGGUGAAAUCCUCCAGCUUAACUGGAGAACGGCCGUGGAUACUGGCGACCUCGAGGGGGGUAGGGGCUUGCGGAACUGUGCGUGGAGCGGUGAAAUGCGUUGAUAUGCACAGGAACGCCGGUGGCGAAGGCGGCGAGCUGGACCUCUUCUGACGCUGAGGCGCGAAAGCCAGGGGAGCAAACGGG
Molecule: ribosomal RNA, 253 nt
Filed under: uncultured bacterium
Lineage: Bacteria
Description: partial 16S ribosomal RNA
Rfam family: Bacterial small subunit ribosomal RNA
Source: RNAcentral